AUGAGUUUUUGGUUUGUUAGUGUUACUAACGUAACCAUAAAAACUUCAUCCUUUGUUUAUACAAAUUGUAUACUUUGGCAAGACGCUUUGACUUGAAGUUGGAGAAUAUUCAGCCACAAGAAGAAGCCACUGACGUCAUCCGAUGUGAGUGUGUUUUGCUUGCCAAAGGUCUUAACUCUUUUAUACUGUUGUCUGAGUACUACAAAAAUAAAUUA
This 215-nucleotide unclassified non-coding RNA is filed under the name uncultured fungus. Its description in RNAcentral is "sequence contains ITS1, 5.8S rRNA gene". Lineage: Eukaryota; Fungi. The record is from RNAcentral.